UACGAAGGGGGCUAGCGUUGCUCGGAAUUACUGGGCGUAAAGGGCGCGUAGGCGGACAGUUUAGUCAGAGGUGAAAGCCCAGGGCUCAACCUUGGAAUUGCCUUUGAUACUGGCUGUCUUGAGUACGGGAGAGGUGUGUGGAACUCCGAGUGUAGAGGUGAAAUUCGUAGAUAUUCGGAAGAACACCAGUGGCGAAGGCGACACACUGGCCCGUUACUGACGCUGAGGCGCGAAAGCGUGGGGAGCAAACGGG
Molecule: ribosomal RNA, 253 nt
Filed under: uncultured bacterium
Lineage: Bacteria
Description: partial 16S ribosomal RNA
Rfam family: Bacterial small subunit ribosomal RNA
Source: RNAcentral